AUUGAACGCUGGCGGCAGGCCUAACACAUGCAAGUCGAGCGGCAGCGGGAAAGUAGCUUGCUACUUUUGCCGGCGAGCGGCGGACGGGUGAGUAAUGCCUGGGAAAUUGCCCAGUCGAGGGGGAUAACAGUUGGAAACGACUGCUAAUACCGCAUACGCCCUACGGGGGAAAGCAGGGGACCUUCGGGCCUUGCGCGAUUGGAUAUGCCCAGGUGGGAUUAGCUAGUUGGUGAGGUAAUGGCUCACCAAGGCGACGAUCCAUAGCUGGUCUGGGAGGAUGAUCAGCCACACUGGAACUGAGACACGGUCCAGACUCCUACGGGAGGCAGCAGUGGGGAAUAUUGCACAAUGGGGGAAACCCUGAUGCAGCCAUGCCGCGUGUGUGAAGAAGGCCUUCGGGUUGUAAAGCACUUUCAGCGAGGAGGAAAGGUUGAUGCCUAAUACGUAUCAACUGUGACGUUACUCGCAGAAGAAGCACCGGCUAACUCCGUGCCAGCCGCCGCAGUAA
This 508-nucleotide ribosomal RNA is filed under the name uncultured bacterium. Its description in RNAcentral is "partial 16S ribosomal RNA". It matches the Rfam family "Bacterial small subunit ribosomal RNA", at positions 30 to 523 of the family's 1533-position model. The record is from RNAcentral.